Molecule: ribosomal RNA, 484 nt
Filed under: uncultured bacterium
Lineage: Bacteria
Description: partial 16S ribosomal RNA
Rfam family: Bacterial small subunit ribosomal RNA
Source: RNAcentral
AUUGAACGCUGGCGGCAGGCCUAACACAUGCAAGUCGAGCGGAUGAAGGGAGCUUGCUCCUGGAUUCAGCGGCGGACGGGUGAGUAAUGCCUAGGAAUCUGUCUGGUAGUGGGGGAUAACGUCCGGAAACGGGCGCUAAUACCGCAUACGUCCUGAGGGAGAAAGUGGGGGUUCUUCGGACCUCACGCUAUUUGAUGAGCCUAGGUCGGAUUAGCUAGUUGGUGGGGUAAAGGCCUACCAAGGCGACGAUCCGUAACUGGUCUGAGAGGAUGAUCAGUCACACUGGAACUGAGACACGGUCCAGACUCCUACGGGAGGCAGCAGUGGGGAAUAUUGGACAAAGGGCGAAAGCCUGAUCCAGCCAUGCCGCGUGUGUGAAGAAGGUCUUCGGAUUGUAAAGCACUUUAAGUUGGGAGGAAGGGCAGUAAGUUAAUACCUUGCUGUUUUGACGGUACCAACAGAAUAAGCACCGGCUAACUUCGUG